UUAAUGGCAGUGAAGAGGAGAGUAGUAAAGGAUAGUCGCUUACAGAGAGAUAAUCAGUUGGUGAGAGAUUAUCAGCGUACGCCUUUAUGAAAAUCACCUCAGAGCUAGAUACCUGAAAUAAUAGUAGGGUAUCUCGCAGAUAUGCGUUAAAUUCUAAUGAGUGAUAGGAAAUUUAUCCUAUAAUUUGGGUGGUACCGCGGAAAAAAUCCGUCCCUAAG
RNAcentral lists this non-coding RNA (218 nucleotides) under Caminicella sporogenes. RNAcentral describes it as "T-box sequence". It matches the Rfam family "T-box leader". From Rfam's summary of the family: Uncharged tRNA acts as the effector for transcription antitermination of genes in the T-box leader family. T-boxes are found upstream of many aminoacyl-tRNA synthetase genes and some amino acid biosynthetic genes usually in Gram-positive bacteria. The record is from RNAcentral. Lineage: Bacteria; Bacillati; Bacillota; Clostridia; Peptostreptococcales; Caminicellaceae.